CUGAACCAGCCAAGUAGCGUGAAGGAUGAAGGGUCCUACGGAUUGUAAACUUCUUUUAUACGGGAAUAAAGUAUCCUACGUGUAGGAUUUUGUAUGUACCGUAUGAAUAAGCAUCGGCUAACUCCGUGCCAGCAGCCGCGGUAAUACGGAGGAUCCGAGCGUUAUCCGGAUUUAUUGGGUUUAAAGGGAGCGCAGACGGGAGAUUAAGUCAGUUGUGAAAGUUUGCGG
This 228-nucleotide ribosomal RNA is filed under the name uncultured Bacteroides sp. RNAcentral's name for it is "partial 16S ribosomal RNA". It matches the Rfam family "Bacterial small subunit ribosomal RNA", at positions 383 to 607 of the family's 1533-position model. Lineage: Bacteria; Pseudomonadati; Bacteroidota; Bacteroidia; Bacteroidales; Bacteroidaceae. The record is from RNAcentral.